RNAcentral lists this ribosomal RNA (414 nucleotides) under Triticum aestivum (bread wheat). RNAcentral describes it as "partial small subunit ribosomal RNA". Lineage: Eukaryota; Viridiplantae; Streptophyta; Magnoliopsida; Poales; Poaceae. The record is from RNAcentral.
AUGAGGACAAGGACGCAACCACCCAGGAGAGGAGAAGGAGCCGCAGGCGAGGCAAGCAAUGCGUCGGUGAUCCCUCCUGGAAAUUUUGAUCUAGAAAGGCAACCUCGCAUGCAACCUACUCAUUCCGAGCAACAGCCAGAUGGUACAAGGGGUCAGCGGUAUCCGAACAAAGGCGAGGUGCAAAAGGAAGCUCAAAGGAGAAGCAAGAGACAAGAACCGAGUGGAAGGGAAAACCUGAGCAGAGCACUUGUUCCUGCACCGGUGAGAAAAAGCACGAGAAGAAAGUCAAGGCCUUUGCAGUGGUGGCUUGGUGAAAGGUUUCUGUAUAACAGUAAGUAUGGCGAAUUUAUUGUUUGUUCUCUUGCAGUUUCACUUUUAUGUAGGGUGCUGAUAGAAAUUUGUGCUCUGAAAUGA